This 217-nucleotide unclassified non-coding RNA is filed under the name uncultured fungus. RNAcentral describes it as "sequence contains ITS1, 5.8S rRNA gene". The stretch from base 169 to 217 matches the Rfam family "5.8S ribosomal RNA", at positions 1 to 49 of the family's 154-position model. Lineage: Eukaryota; Fungi. The record is from RNAcentral.
UUUCCGUAGGUGAACCUGCGGAAGGAUCAUUACAUUCAGUAGCUCAGCUACUUGUUUACACCCUUGUCUUUUUGCGUACUUAUCGUUUCCUCGGCGGGCUUGCCUGCCGGUGGACGAUUAAUAACCUUAUGUAAUUGCAAUCAGCGUCAGUAACGAUAAAAUUAUUACAACUUUCAACAACGGAUCUCUUGGUUCUGGCAUCGAUGAAGAACGCAGC